RNAcentral lists this ribosomal RNA (694 nucleotides) under uncultured bacterium. RNAcentral's name for it is "bacterial SSU rRNA". It matches the Rfam family "Bacterial small subunit ribosomal RNA", at positions 33 to 773 of the family's 1533-position model. The record is from RNAcentral.
ACGCUGGCGGCAUGCCUAACACAUGCAAGUCGAACGAAGCCUUCGGGUUUAGUGGCGCACGGGUGCGUAACGCGUGGGAAUCUGCCCCUUGGUUCGGAAUAACAGUUGGAAACGACUGCUAAUACCGGAUGAUGACGUAAGUCCAAAGAUUUAUCGCCGAGGGAUGAGCCCGCGUAGGAUUAGGUAGUUGGUGUGGUAAAGGCGCACCAAGCCGACGAUCCUUAGCUGGUCUGAGAGGAUGAUCAGCCACACUGGGACUGAGACACGGCCCAGACUCCUACGGGAGGCAGCAGUGGGGAAUAUUGGACAAUGGGCGAAAGCCUGAUCCAGCAAUGCCGCGUGAGUGAUGAAGGCCUUAGGGUUGUAAAGCUCUUUUACCCGGGAUGAUAAUGACAGUACCGGGAGAAUAAGCUCCGGCUAACUCCGUGCCAGCAGCCGCGGUAAUACGGAGGGAGCUAGCGUUAUUCGGAAUUACUGGGCGUAAAGCGCACGUAGGCGGCUUUGUAAGUAAGAGGUGAAAGCCCAGAGCUCAACUCUGGAAUUGCCUUUUAGACUGCAUCGCUUGAAUCAUGGAGAGGUCAGUGGAAUUCCGAGUGUAGAGGUGAAAUUCGUAGAUAUUCGGAAGAACACCAGUGGCGAAGGCGGCUGACUGGACAUGUAUUGACGCUGAGGUGCGAAAGCGUGGGGAGCAAAC